GGAUUGCCUUAGUAACGGCGAGUGAAGCGGCAACAGCUCAAAUUUGAAAUCUGGCCUCUUUGGGGUCCGAGUUGUAAUUUGGAGAGGAUGUUUCGGGUACGGUCCGGGCUUAAAUUUCUUGGAACAGAAUGUCACAGAGGGUGAGAAUCCCGUCUGGAGUCUGCGACACGGCCUAUGUGAAACUCCUUCGACGAGUCGAGUUGUUUGGGAAUGCAGCUCUAAAUGGGUGGUAAAUUUCAUCUAAAGCUAAAUAUUGGCCAGAGACCGAUAGCGCACAAGUAGAGUGAUCGAAAGAUGAAAAGCACUUUGAAAAGAGAGUUAAACAGUACGUGAAAUUGUUGAAAGGGAAGCGCUGGCAACCAGACUUGCGCGUCGGGGUUCCCCCUGGCUUCUGCCUGGGCUACUCCCCGGCGCUCAGGCCAACAUCGGUUUUGGGGGUCGGUUAAAGGCCCCGGGAAUGUACCUACCCUUCGGGGUAGACUUAUAGCCCGGGGUGUCAUGCGGCCACCCGGGACCGAGGAACGCGCUUCGGCUCGGAUGUGGCGUAA
Molecule: ribosomal RNA, 548 nt
Filed under: Phialophora sp. EHS291
Lineage: Eukaryota; Fungi; Ascomycota; Eurotiomycetes; Chaetothyriales; Herpotrichiellaceae
Description: eukaryotic LSU rRNA
Rfam family: Eukaryotic large subunit ribosomal RNA
Source: RNAcentral